RNAcentral lists this ribosomal RNA (253 nucleotides) under uncultured bacterium. RNAcentral's name for it is "partial 16S ribosomal RNA". It matches the Rfam family "Bacterial small subunit ribosomal RNA", at positions 524 to 776 of the family's 1533-position model. The record is from RNAcentral.
UACGUAGGGGGCGAGCGUUAUCCGGAUUUACUGGGUGUAAAGGGAGCGCAGACGGAAGAGCAAGUCUGAUGUGAAAACCCGGGGCUCAACCCCGGGCCUGCAUUGGAAACUGUUUUUCUGGAGUACUGGAAGGGCAGGCGGAAUUCCUGGUGUAGCGGUGAAAUGCUUAGAUAUCAGGAGGAACACCGGUGGCGAAGGCGGCCUGCUGGACAGUAACUGACGUUGAGGCUCGAAAGCGUGGGGAGCAAACAGG